GCCUUGGCAAUGAUAGGCGACGAAGGACGUGAUAGCCUGCGAUAAGCUUCGGGGAGCUGGCAAAUGAGCUUUGAUCCGGAGAUUUCCGAAUGGGGAAACCCACCUGCAAAGGUAUCGCAUACUCAAUACAUAGGUAUGCGAGGCGAACCGGGUGAACUGAAACAUCUCAGUAGCUCGAGGAAAAGACAUCAACCGAGAUUCCGAAAGUAGUGGCGAGCGAAAUCGGAGAAGCCUGUUAGUGAAGCACAAGACAUAACGGAACAUUCUGGAAAGGGUGGCCAUAGCGGGUGAUAGCCCCGUACGUGAAAUGACCUGUGUGGUACUGAGCUAACGAAAAGUAGGGCGGGACACGAGAAAUCCUGUCUGAAUAUGGGGGGACCAUCCUCCAAGGCUAAAUACUCAUCAUUGACCGAUAGUGAACUAGUACCGUGAGGGAAAGGCGAAAAGAACCCCGGGAGGGGAGUGAAAUAGAUCCUGAAACCGUGUGCUUACAAAAAGUAGGAGCCCGCAAGGGUGACUGCGUACC
This 526-nucleotide ribosomal RNA is filed under the name uncultured bacterium. RNAcentral describes it as "bacterial LSU rRNA". It matches the Rfam family "Bacterial large subunit ribosomal RNA", at positions 30 to 605 of the family's 2925-position model. The record is from RNAcentral.